UUGACAGCAACCUUUCUAAACCAGCUAUAUUUCAGGGGCUGAAUGCACAGGAACAGAUGAAACCUGCAAUUCUGCCAGCUUCCUUCCUUCCUAGAGGAAGACAGUGAUAGGUAGAUACUGAAGGGUAGAUAGUGAAGAAGAAGCUGAGAGAGUCAACACACUGAACAACUACAAAAAUGCUGAAUUAUUUAUGCAAAGGACAUUAUUUUCAUCUUAAAGAGUUAAGACAAUCAGCCUGUAAAACCUUGUGAUGCAGUAUCAAGUCCUUAUUCUAGGAAACAGAGGAGAGACUCUUAGACAAGCACCAUAAAUACUAAGCCAUCUCUCACUAGCAUAAUGAAUGCAAUGUUUUGAGUUUAUUAAAUGUGCCUAGAAGUUAAUUGAAAGUAUUCAUUUAGUGAGAAAAAUUAAGUGGUUAUAAUACUAUGGAAAAAACUGAGUGAAUAGUGAUUGAUUUGAUUUUAUUUUUCAACUGUAAUUUACAUCAGGAAGGAGGAAAAGGGAAGAAAAACUAGCAAAGUGAGUGGAUCCAAUGGACCAAAACAAUUUGGGAUUUACCAUGGCUAAUAUUAUAUGCAUAAGUAUUUCUUUCACAGAAGAAAGAUUGUGCUGGAGAAGGCAGUUUAUUAGACUUUAGUGUAUGUAGGACAGGGGAAAUCUUUGACCAGUUCAGGAAGAAGGCAAGGUGUUUAUUUUCUUUAAUCUCAGUCAAUAGCAACAAAUAAAGUAAGACUGAUAAUAGCCCAAGGAGUCUACUGGAUGCUCGUAUCUGAAAGGAGAACAGAGUGUAAAUGAUCAAUGGUUGUCUCUAUCAAGCUGCAUUUAGUUGGGAUUUUUCCUUUCCAGAUUGUCAUGACUGAAGCUAGUAAAAGUUGAAAGGAGGAUGGAUAUCUGCAAGGAUAAUCAUUAAGAUCUUCUGUGCUACAGACAAGGCCACCACUGCGCCCCUGCCUCCAACUGCUCUGCUGGUACCUAUGGAAAAGGCUCUUUCUCAGAUACCCCAACUCCUUCUGCAAUUGGAGGGCAAGCUAGAAUGAAUGAGCAUGGGUUUUGGUCCCAACAUCGGAAGAAGAACCCUAAUUCUUGCUGUGGAUGGUGAAUGUGGUCCCUGAGGUGAGGUGCAGAUGGCUGUCUAUGAAAAGUUACUCUUCAUACGCUUACAAACACAGAGCCUGGGUGAUUCAGAUAAUAUCUGUUCUGCUUCCACUUAGGAGUCUGGCAAAUGAAGGACACAAAAUAAAAUAUUUUUUAAAAAUGGUGCCUAAAUUUAAGAAUAAAAUCCAUGUCUAAGCACUUAAGCACUUAAAUAUGUGGUCUGAUUAAAAAAAAAAUUGGAAUCAAGAAAACACCAGCAAGGCCAGCUGGGAGGUGAUGACUUGGAGAAUUCCAUCCCUAAUUUUGUUGUCUAAAUAAGAAUCCAGGAAUAGGGCCCAGGAUCUCAUUUUGAACAAAAUAUUUGUAUGAAUGCUGCCUAGAGCUGGAAGGAUUAAAUUGGAUCACUGAUCUCCUCUGCACUGGGAAAUCACUAGAAUUUUUUUUAAAGCACUGCUCAUGUUAUUGGGCAUUCAGAAGAUUGAAUAUGAUGGUUGGGCAUUGAAAAGACACAGGAAGGUCUGUUCUAAUCCCCAACACAAAUGUUGGAGCAUGCUACCAAGCCCUACUGCCUUGACAUAGAAGGCCCAGGUGUUAGCAACCCAGAACCAGUGUAAGACACUGCUCCUUGCACUGACUCCAGCCACCCACCAGCCUGUCUGUCCACAGCCCCAAAAUUCACUGUUAUGUAUUCAGCUGAAGCACCAAACUUCCUUUUUCUUCAGCAAACUUCACACAAAAAAAAAGUUCUAAAAAAAAAUCAGUUGUCUCUUGUUAGGCUUCUCCAUCCAGUUCCAAUGAUGGUGUCAUGUAUUGAUUUGGUCUCAAAUAACCACAUCUACAUCUCCACUGAGAAGAUGGUUUGUAUGUGGAAAAGCCUUGAUUUUCUUUUAAACUACUCUAAUAGUUGUAGCUGUUUCUUUCUUAUGGCUAUCAGGCUCAGAAUUACCUGAAUAUGGGAGCUUCCCAAGAGGAGCAAAUUAUCUGUAUUAGCAAAGGCUCCUUUCUAAGUCUGGGUGGUGCCUACACUUAACUAAAUCAAAUUUUACUUAAAAGCUUAUUAGAGCUUUUGGCUCUAUAUAGACAUCACAUUUCUGGGAAGUUUUGAUCAAAAAGCUUGGCAUGACUACAAUUACAAUAUUGUUACAAGGCACUAAAUGGUAUUGAUAUGUUUAAAACAGAAAUUCUGUGUUCAUUUUAUAUACAGUUUAUCUCAAUUGCAUAAAUACCAGGGUAUUUAUAGAUUUAUCAGAGUUUGCAUCCUCUCCUUGAAUCUUUCAAACAUUCAGGCUUACAAUAAAGCCUAAUAAUGGCCAAGCAGCCCAAAGAAUAAUAAUUUAAUUAAAAAAAGGAGUAACAACACUGAUUUCAGAACUGAAGAGACAGCAGCUAUUGACUUUUAAUAGAUUUAUAAUAAAUUUUUAUGGCUUUCAUUCUUGAUUCUAACUUAAACAGAGUAAACUGCAACAGCUGUCCAGGGAAAGAGAUACUGUUCUACUGGGUAGUUUUUUUACUGCUGUCCACCUCGUGAUCUAUCCACAUUUACAUAGUUUUCCAUGUUUAAACUGAAACAAACAUUCUCAGAUGGGCAGUGACAGCUAUGAGUGUCAUAUCUGUAUUUAAUGGAAUAAAAAACACAAACCAACUUGUCAGACACACCAUGGUGUCAAGCUCAAUUACCUAAAUAAACAGAGGCAAUGGUUAAUUUUACUUGCUGUUCACUUUUUUGAAACUGCUUCACUGUUGAUUUUUGCAGUCUCUCCCUGGGAGGAUUACAUCUGCCUGGUUUAAAGUUUCACGUCCAAACAUCAUGACCAAAACCUAAAAGCUUGCUACAGAAAAAAAAGUAUAAAUUUGGGAAAAGAGCCUUCCUUCUCUGGGGAAAAUUAGCCUGGAUCCUAAGAGGAAAGUUAUUUGAGCAAGCUCCAUCUAUGAGACAAGAAGUGCAAACAGGUUGUGGCCUGCCAUGAUGGAACCCCACCAGAAACUCCCCAUGUGAGCAGUCACUGUAAAUGUGUCUUUCUCCACUGCCUUGAGGGAGAUGCCUACAUGCCACCCACAUGUCAUGAGGAAUCAUAACAUCAAGUUUACAUUGAAAGCAGUUAAAAUACACAGGGAUGAUGAGAGAAACAUUUUUGCAUCACAAUUUUUUAUUUUAAACACAACCUAGCACCUAUUAUUAUUUUGGCAAUACAAAAGUGCAGCAGAUGUUGUCACCUUCUACAGGGCAGAGAGCUAGUGGACCUCUGCUCACUCACUCAAGCUGAAAAGGCAGCUCGUCCUCCCUCCAGCCAUCCCUUUGACUUGGAUAAAGAGCCUCCCAGCUGGAAUAGUUUUCCUGAAGUGAUUCACCCCAUGCUGUUUCACACACACACACACACAAAGGCCCAGUGACUGAGACCCAAACUGCAGUCGCCAUGUCACUGUAACAGAUCUCCCCACUUCCAGGUCAUUCAACACAGAUCACAUCCAACCUCAGGCACUCUUUGUCAGGCACCCACAAAGGGUUUGAGCAGACUCAGUCCAAAGCAAAAGACCUUACACACUGACCUUUAGGGGUGCACUGGUCAUUCAGUGCACUGAAGCCAAGAGUGCACAAAACCUUCACAGAGCCAGGAUCACUCCAGCAACUGAUCCCUCGCCUCUACGCCAGUCCCAAAUCAAAAGCAGAUCUGCAAGAUUCUCCAGCUGUGGAGAUGCCAAGGGGAGAAAAGCAAAGCAGAGGACAGAACAGUCCUUAGUAGAAGCAAGAUCCUGUGGGGAGACUCGGGGACUCAUGGCAAAGUGCAGCCCUAGUGAGCUGGGCAGAGCUCAGGUGUUGUGCUGGGUCUGUGAGCACAUGGCCCUGGGCUGGGCCAGGCCAGGCUCAUUUAGUCCUUUUCACCAUGACUGCUCAGCUCUGGGAUCCUGAGGGCAGAUGAAUGGCAUGUUCUUAGCAACAUGCCAGUGGAAACUACUAUGGCAUUGGGUUGAACAGGCUGUGUGCUUCUCCAGCCUUCCUUCCUGAUAAGCACUGAAAGGAUUGCACUGCUUAUUACAAGGGACUUCCUCAUCACAAGGCAAAAUAAAUUCACCUAUAAAAUGCACAGAUAAAAGUUUUUCAUUUCACAUCCAGCAGCUGAAAAACAACUUUACCAGGUGAUAUUGGUGGGGUUGAUUUCUAUUUGUCUUUGGGGGUUUUUUCUGGGUUUUUUUGUGUGGUGGCUUUAUUCUGUUUGUUUGGUUUGGCUUUUUGCUUUUU
Non-coding RNA from Zonotrichia albicollis (white-throated sparrow), 4333 nucleotides. NCBI's taxonomy places the organism in Eukaryota, Metazoa, Chordata, Aves, Passeriformes, Passerellidae. The record is from RefSeq and is a predicted model, not a curated record.